UGGUCUCAAAUCAGGUAGGGCUACCCGCUGAACUUAAGCAUAUCAAUAAGCGGAGGAAAAGAAACUAACAAGGAUUCCCUUAGUAACGGCGAGUGAACCGGGAAAAGCUCAAAUUUGUAAUCUGGCUGUCUUCGAUAGUCCGAGUUGUAAUCUAUAGACGUGUUUUCCGUGCUGGACCGUAUCUAAGUCCCUUGGAACAGGGUAUCAAAGAGGGUGACAAUCCCGUGCUUGAUACGACCACCAGUGCUCUGUGAUACACGUUCUACGAGUCGAGUUGUUUGGGAAUGCAGCUCAAAAUGGGUGGUAAAUUCCAUCUAAAGCUAAAUAUUGGCGAGAGACCGAUAGCGAACAAGUACCGUGAGGGAAAGAUGAAAAGCACUUUGGAAAGAGAGUUAAACAGUACGUGAAAUUGUUGAAAGGGAAACGAUUGAAGUCAGUCGUGUUCUUUGGAUUCAGCUAGUUCUUCUAGUCUACUUCCAUUGAACGGGUCAACAUCAGUUUUGUCCGGUGGAUAAAGGUAUUAGGAAUGUAGCUCCCUCGGGAGUGUUAUAGACUAGUAUUGCAUACACUGGGUGAGACUGAGGACUGCAGCUCGCCUUUUGGCCGGCCCUCGGGCACGUUCGAGCUUAGGAUGUUGACAUAAUGGCUUUAAACGACCCGUCUUGAAACACG
This 672-nucleotide ribosomal RNA is filed under the name Cutaneotrichosporon terricola. RNAcentral describes it as "eukaryotic LSU rRNA". It matches the Rfam family "Eukaryotic large subunit ribosomal RNA", at positions 1 to 663 of the family's 3401-position model. The record is from RNAcentral. Lineage: Eukaryota; Fungi; Basidiomycota; Tremellomycetes; Trichosporonales; Trichosporonaceae.